GUGGGGAAUAUUGGGCAAUGGGCGAAAGCCUGACCCAGCAACGCCGCGUGAAGGAAGAAGGUCUUCGGAUCGUAAACUUCUAUCCUUGGUGAAGAUAAUGACGGUAGCCGAGAAGGAAGCCCCGGCUAACUACGUGCCAGCAGCCGCGGUAAUACGUAGGGGGCAAGCGUUGUCCGGAAUGAUUGGGCGUAAAGGGCGCGUAGGCGGCCUGGUAAGUCUGGAGUGAAAGUCCUGCUUUUAAGGUGGGAAUUGCUUUGGAUACUGUCGGGCUUGAGUGCAGGAGAGGUAAGUGGAAUUCCCGGUGUAGCGGUGAAAUGCGUAGAGAUCGGGAGUAACACCAGUGGCGAAGGCGACUUACUGGACUGUAACUGACGCUGAGGCGCGAAAGUGUGGGGAGCAAACAGGAUUAGAAACCCCGGUAGUCC
This 425-nucleotide ribosomal RNA is filed under the name uncultured bacterium. RNAcentral's name for it is "partial 16S ribosomal RNA". It matches the Rfam family "Bacterial small subunit ribosomal RNA", at positions 354 to 796 of the family's 1533-position model. The record is from RNAcentral.